Molecule: ribosomal RNA, 255 nt
Filed under: Clostridioides difficile
Lineage: Bacteria; Bacillati; Bacillota; Clostridia; Peptostreptococcales; Peptostreptococcaceae
Description: partial 23S ribosomal RNA
Rfam family: Bacterial large subunit ribosomal RNA
Source: RNAcentral
ACUUAGUGAUCCGGUGGUUCUGCGUGGAAGGGCCAUCGCUCAACGGAUAAAAGCUACCCUGGGGAUAACAGGCUUAUCUCCCCCAAGAGUCCACAUCGACGGGGAGGUUUGGCACCUCGAUGUCGGCCCAUCACAUCCUGGGGCUGUAGUAGGUCCCAAGGGUUGGGCUGUUCGCCCAUUAAAGUGGUACGCGAGCUGGGUUCAGAACGUCGUGAGACAGUUCGGUCCCUAUCCGUCGCAGGCGUAGGAAAUUUG